Carica papaya (papaya) is the source of this 389-nucleotide non-coding RNA. The record is from RefSeq and is a predicted model, not a curated record. Lineage: Eukaryota; Viridiplantae; Streptophyta; Magnoliopsida; Brassicales; Caricaceae.
UCCAUCUGUUACCAUUUAUUCAACCGCCAUCACUUCCUCCAUCAUUAUAUCAUCACCAGGUAUCAGAGAGUGACUCUCCUCCAACUGUAUCUUGACUUUCUUUGUAGAUCGGUGCUCUUCCAGAAGCAUUGAUUUGAAGUUCAGAGGAAGCCAAGAUGUCCCCAAUUGUUCCAAGCUCAGGGCAUUCCUCCCAGUCACUCAUCCCAGUUGUUAUAAGCGAGUCUCUUCUCCCUUUGCCUACCACAAACAAUGAGGGUACCUGUUGCAAAAAUCUUCCAAGAAGCUGUUAUCUCUCUCACUUUCAGUCUCGUUAGUUGAUAUUGACAUUAAGAUCUCAUGAUUCUGGCUAGAGGUAUUGCUGAUUGGGUUCUGUUUGUUUGUUGACGUGG